CAGGGUGGGACGGGACGGGGACGGGCAGCGUUUCGGCAUUGGAUGUUGCCAGAUCUGAUCGUCCCGCUGGUGAUGCAGGUUACACGCCGACGGGGGGGGUGGGGGAGCAGGUUCCAGGUUUUCGGGCCCACGUCUCCUUCAGAGCCGCUAGCGUUAGCUUCGGCGGCGCGCGGCAGCUGGGGGCGUCGCCACGGAAAUGACCGGAAUGUUAGCGGCAUGGCGCGGCGAGCUCGGCUCGGAGCGGAACCCCUCCCUGGACCUGCAGGAGACUGAAGGGGGGGGGGGGGGCAGCCAUGUUUUCCUGUUUUUGGUUUUUGUUAUAAAUGUUCUCGCUGAUUUUUG
Molecule: long non-coding RNA, 342 nt
Organism: Anguilla anguilla (European eel)
Lineage: Eukaryota; Metazoa; Chordata; Actinopteri; Anguilliformes; Anguillidae
Exons: 2
Source: RefSeq, a predicted model, not a curated record